RNAcentral lists this transfer RNA (76 nucleotides) under Flavobacteriaceae bacterium. Its description in RNAcentral is "tRNA-Thr". It matches the Rfam family "tRNA". From Rfam's summary of the family: Transfer RNA (tRNA) molecules are approximately 80 nucleotides in length. Their secondary structure includes four short double-helical elements and three loops (D, anti-codon, and T loops). Lineage: Bacteria; Pseudomonadati; Bacteroidota; Flavobacteriia; Flavobacteriales; Flavobacteriaceae. The record is from RNAcentral. RNAcentral also lists the same sequence under 2 other names.
GCCGCCCUAGCUCAGUUGGUAGAGCAGUUCACUCGUAAUGAUCAGGUCUCCGGUUCGAUUCCGGAGGGUGGCUCCA